Molecule: long non-coding RNA, 1005 nt
Organism: Oncorhynchus tshawytscha (Chinook salmon)
Lineage: Eukaryota; Metazoa; Chordata; Actinopteri; Salmoniformes; Salmonidae
Source: Ensembl
GAACUCGUCCGUGUGAUCCGAAAAAAUGCCAAUUCUCAUAUUUUAUUUCGAUAUGCCUGGGCUGGUUAUGUAUUACCCAAACAGGAUGUGACAUCACGGGGGUCCAAACUAAAAAUAUGUCGCAGGACAGUCUGCCUAGGAUGUCCAGAACCCUGGAGGAUGCUGCCUCGCAGUGGGGGUCCAGACAUGUGAUGUUCGCUGGAGGAUGCAGGAGAUAACCACGCAGAAUGUCUCUUUUCUCUACCUCCUGGUUUGAGUAUGACCCCUCCCCUGGCUUGUGACCCUUCACCUGGAUAUCACUCCUGGCAUUUGGCUCUGGGACAGACUACUCAUGUUGAACCAUAGACAUAUUCUUGAUUCAAGAACACAUCUAAGUCUAAUGGCACAGGGCCCCCGUCUCUCUGGCUGACAGCAGGUUACCAUGAUCUUCAAGAGGCAGCAAUGGGAAUACGUUCCUAGAACAACAAAGAGAGAAGGAGUUUAUCGAGCCCCCAAGCCCCCUCUGUCACAGUGAAGCUCACCUAGAAGCCCUCCCUCAUCAUGGGAUCUGAGACAACACACACUUACUUUCGCUGCUCUUCACUAGUUCGAGGACAGUAGUUGUUUUCUUUGCCGUGUGUGUGUGUGUGUGUGUGUGUGUGUGUGUGUGUGUGUGUGUGUGUGUGUGUGUGUGUGUGUGUGUGUGUGUGUGUGUGUGUGUGUGUGUGUGUGUGUGAGUGUGUGUGUGUGUGUGUGAGUGUGUGUGUGUGUGUGUGAGUGUGAGUGUGAGUGUGUGCGCAUGCAAAUGUGUAUGUCUAUGUGUACAUGCACACUUGAGCGUGUGUGUCUAGUUUGUGUCUGUGUGUUUACUAUCUCUCUCCAGAAUCAAAGGCAGACUGCAGUGCUUCUUCCUACUAUUGGCCUAUAUCUGUUGGCUGGGGUUGGGGACCUAUCAAGGAGAACAUGCUAAUUAAACUCCUGCUAUCUCCACUGACUGACUCUCUUUCUUUCAGUUGUACACCAUCA